GCAUUAAUGGGGUAGUGGUAACCUGGGUCGUUGCCAUUAGCCAGUUUGUCGACCCGCCGAGGGUUCGAUUCCCUCUUAAUGCA
Molecule: non-coding RNA, 83 nt
Organism: Lentinula aff. lateritia
Lineage: Eukaryota; Fungi; Basidiomycota; Agaricomycetes; Agaricales; Omphalotaceae
Source: the annotation of a GenBank genome assembly